UAACUGAAGAGUUUGAUCAUGGCUCAGAUUGAACGCUGGCGGCAGGCUUAACACAUGCAAGUCGAGCGGGGGAAGGUAGCUUGCUACUGGACCUAGCGGCGGACGGGUGAGUAAUGCUUAGGAAUCUGCCUAUUAGUGGGGGACAACAUCUCGAAAGGGAUGCUAAUACCGCAUACGUCCUACGGGAGAAAGCAGGGGAU
Molecule: ribosomal RNA, 200 nt
Filed under: Acinetobacter baumannii
Lineage: Bacteria; Pseudomonadati; Pseudomonadota; Gammaproteobacteria; Moraxellales; Moraxellaceae
Description: partial 16S ribosomal RNA
Rfam family: Bacterial small subunit ribosomal RNA
Source: RNAcentral